RNAcentral lists this ribosomal RNA (468 nucleotides) under uncultured bacterium. Its description in RNAcentral is "partial 16S ribosomal RNA". It matches the Rfam family "Bacterial small subunit ribosomal RNA", at positions 28 to 507 of the family's 1533-position model. The record is from RNAcentral.
GACGAACGCUGGCGGCGUGCUUAACACAUGCAAGUCGAACGGAAAGGCCCUGCUUUUGUGGGGUGCUCGAGUGGCGAACGGGUGAGUAACACGUGAGUAACCUGCCCUUGACUUUGGGAUAACUUCAGGAAACUGGGGCUAAUACCGGAUAGGAGCUCCUGCUGCAUGGUGGGGGUUGGAAAGUUUCGGCGGUUGGGGAUGGACUCGCGGCUUAUCAGCUUGUUGGUGGGGUAGUGGCUUACCAAGGCUUUGACGGGUAGCCGGCCUGAGAGGGUGACCGGCCACAUUGGGACUGAGCUGCGGCCCAGACUCCUACGGGAGGCAGCGGUGGGGAAUAGUGCACAAUGGGCGGAAGCCUGGUGCAGCAACGCCGCGUGCGGUAUGACGGCCUUCGGGUUGUAAACCGCUUUCGCCUGUGGCGAAGCGUGAGUGACGGUAAUGGGUAAAGAAGCACCGGCUAACUACGUG